This 46-nucleotide non-coding RNA is filed under the name Schistosoma haematobium. The record is from RNAcentral. Lineage: Eukaryota; Metazoa; Platyhelminthes; Trematoda; Strigeidida; Schistosomatidae.
AUUCAGCUGACAAGUCCCAAAAUAGGACGAAACACGCGUCCUGGAU